Triticum dicoccoides is the source of this 875-nucleotide long non-coding RNA. RefSeq lists it as uncharacterized. The transcript is spliced from 3 exons. The record is from RefSeq and is a predicted model, not a curated record. NCBI's taxonomy places the organism in Eukaryota, Viridiplantae, Streptophyta, Magnoliopsida, Poales, Poaceae.
GCACCACACAAGACGGACAAAGCGCCAGGUCUCUCUCCUCGUAUAUAUAUAUAUAUGGAGGCUGACCAUCGAUCGAUCGAUAUCUAUCCAUCGCUUCCUACUUUCGGCGCCGACGCACGCACGCGCGCGCGCCUGCUUAUCUCCCUGCCGAGACUAGCCGCCUACCUAGGGCAGUUCGCACAGCCCAUCAGCGCCGGCGCCGGCGCCGGCUCCGGCUCCGGCGGCGCGGACGGCCGAACCCGCCGCAAGCGAGCAAGGAAAUCCGACAUCUCGAUGAUCCUCGGAAAUGGUGUUCCUGAUGCCCCAGCCCCUCCACCACCCCGUGCACUGGCCCUCGACUCAAGGCCUGUGCUAGGUCCUAGGGAGUCCUAGGGAUUUCCAGAAUAAAUGGAGCCAACUAGCAUUAUCUUUUUCUCAGGAAUGCUCUUUAACUCCCCAGGGGGCGGCUUCUUUGACGAAUCACCGAUCGUUCAUUCGUCAUAUGCAAAGCAACUACAUCCAAUGCGUUGCUUCAGGCGGUCAGCCUCCAAACCGCAAGUUCUCUUUUUAUGGUCAGAAAGCUGGGGCUGAUGCUUUCUACCUUGUAGAAUGCAAUGUGAACCCAGCAUCAUCCGAAGCCCAGCUCAAAAUUAAGGCCGACGAUGGGGCUACUGCGGAGGCCUUUUCUACUUUGUUUCAAUCAGUGUUGUCUGAAUUUGGGCUUUCUUGAUCAUGAGGACUAAUUUUCUUCAGGGUUAUAGUGGUUUAGAUGGUGUGUAACCUUGUUACUCGAGUGGACAUGAAUAUCACCUCUGUUGAUGUGGAGAGAAUAGAUGUACAUCUGUAGUAAUUUAUUUGCGGGGAGCAAUAAAGCAAGAGUAUAGUUGACUUGUUCA